AGCGAACGCUGGCGGCAGGCCUAACACAUGCAAGUCGAACGGAUCCUUCGGGAUUAGUGGCGGACGGGUGAGUAACACGUGGGAACGUGCCCUUUGGUUCGGAACAACUCAGGGAAACUUGAGCUAAUCCCGGAUGUGCUCUUCGGGGGAAAGAUUUAUCGCCAUUGGAGCGGCCCGCGUCUGAUUAGCUAGUUGGUGAGGUAAAGGCUCACCAAGGCGACGAUCAGUAGCUGGUCUGAGAGGAUGAUCAGCCACAUUGGGACUGAGACACGGCCCAAACUCCUACGGGAGGCAGCAGUGGGGAGUCUUGCGCAAUGGGCGAAAGCCUGACGCAGCCAUGCCGCGUGAAUGAUGAAGGUCUUAGGAUUGUAAAAUUCUUUCACCGGGGACGAUAAUGACGGUACCCGGAGAAGAAGCCCCGGCUAACUUCGUGCCAGCCGCCGCAGUAA
RNAcentral lists this ribosomal RNA (449 nucleotides) under uncultured bacterium. RNAcentral describes it as "partial 16S ribosomal RNA". It matches the Rfam family "Bacterial small subunit ribosomal RNA", at positions 29 to 523 of the family's 1533-position model. The record is from RNAcentral.